This 482-nucleotide ribosomal RNA is filed under the name uncultured bacterium. RNAcentral's name for it is "partial 16S ribosomal RNA". It matches the Rfam family "Bacterial small subunit ribosomal RNA", at positions 30 to 507 of the family's 1533-position model. The record is from RNAcentral.
AUUGAACGCUGGCGGCAUGCCUUACACAUGCAAGUCGAACGGUAACGGGCCUUCGGGUGCCGACGGGUGGCGAACGGGUGAGUAAUACAUCGGAACGUGCCCGAUCGUGGGGGAUAACGAGGCGAAAGCUUUGCCAAUACCGCAUACGAUCUACGGAUGAAAGCAGGGGACCGCAAGGCCUUGCGCGGACGGAGCGGCCGAUGGCAGAUUAGGUAGUUGGUGGGAUAAAAGCUUACCAAGCCGACGAUCUGUAGCUGGUCUGAGAGGAUGAUCAGCCACACUGGGACUGAGACACGGCCCAGACUCCUACGGGAGGCAGCAGUGGGGAAUUUUGGACAAUGGGCGCAAGCCUGAUCCAGCCAUGCCGCGUGCAGGAUGAAGGCCUUCGGGUUGUAAACUGCUUUUGUACGGAACGAAAAGCCUUCUUUUAAUACAGGAGGGUCAUGACGGUACCGUAAGAAUAAGCACCGGCUAACUACGUG